CCCCUGUAGCUCAGGUGGAUAGAGCACCAGCCUCCGGAGCUGGGGGCGAGCGUUCAAGUCGCUCCAGGGGCGC
Molecule: transfer RNA, 73 nt
Filed under: subsurface metagenome
Description: tRNA-Arg
Rfam family: tRNA
About the family: Transfer RNA (tRNA) molecules are approximately 80 nucleotides in length. Their secondary structure includes four short double-helical elements and three loops (D, anti-codon, and T loops).
Source: RNAcentral